UAACAGUACCACCACCACUGUCUCAGAAGCC
RNAcentral lists this non-coding RNA (31 nucleotides) under Rattus norvegicus (Norway rat). Lineage: Eukaryota; Metazoa; Chordata; Mammalia; Rodentia; Muridae. The record is from RNAcentral.